CCCGACCUGAGACUUCGAGCUGGAAAGUAGAAGAAAUAGAAUACUGAGACCAAAACCCUUAAAGGUCGGCCUCAGUGAUGGAUGACACCUCUCCCCCAUGACUGAAAAAACUUCGACGACUAGCUGAAGAGGCUCUCAUGGCGGUGGGUUGAGGACCCUACUCAGAUCCUAAUCACGAAGCAAACAACUGAGAGCCCUAGUCACC
RNAcentral lists this long non-coding RNA (205 nucleotides) under Elaeis guineensis (African oil palm). RNAcentral's name for it is "long non-coding RNA (EGUI_LNC010146)". Lineage: Eukaryota; Viridiplantae; Streptophyta; Magnoliopsida; Arecales; Arecaceae. The record is from RNAcentral.